GACGAACGCUGGCGGCGUGCUUAACACAUGCAAGUCGAACGGAAAGGCCCUGCUUGCAGGGUGCUCGAGUGGCGAACGGGUGAGUAACACGUGGGUGAUCUGCCCCUUACUUUGGGAUAAGCCUGGGAAACUGGGUCUAAUACUGGAUAGGACCAUGCUGUAGGUGGUGUGGUGGAAAGAUUAGUUUCGGUAAGGGAUGAGCUCGCGGCCUAUCAGCUUGUUGGUGGGGUAAUGGCCUACCAAGGCGUCGACGGGUAGCCGGCCUGAGAGGGUGGACGGCCACAUUGGGACUGAGAUACGGCCCAGACUCCUACGGGAGGCAGCAGUGGGGAAUAUUGCACAAUGGGCGCAAGCCUGAUGCAGCGACGCCGCGUGGGGGAUGACGGCCUUCGGGUUGUAAACUCCUUUCAGCCAUGACGAAGCCUUCGGGUGACGGUAGUGGGAGAAGAAGCACCGGCUAACUACGUG
RNAcentral lists this ribosomal RNA (468 nucleotides) under uncultured bacterium. Its description in RNAcentral is "partial 16S ribosomal RNA". It matches the Rfam family "Bacterial small subunit ribosomal RNA", at positions 28 to 507 of the family's 1533-position model. The record is from RNAcentral.